GAAGGCCUUCGGGUUGUAAAGCACUUUCAGUCGUGAGGAAGGGGGUGUCGUUAAUAGCGGCAUCUCUUGACGUUAGCGACAGAAGAAGCACCGGCUAACUCCGUGCCAGCAGCCGCGGUAAUACGGAGGGUGCGAGCGUUAAUCGGAAUUACUGGGCGUAAAGCGCAUGCAGGUGGUUCGUUAAGUCAGAUGUGAAAGCCCGGGGCUCAACCUCGGAGCAUUUGAAACUGGAACUAGAGUACUGUAGAGGGGGGUAGAAUUUCAGGUGUAGCGGUGAAAUGCGUAGAGAUCUGAAGGAAUACCGGUGGCGAAGGCGGCCCCCUGGACAGAUACUGACACUCAGAUGCGAAAGCGUGGGGAGCAAACAGGAUUAGAUACCCUGGUAGUCCACGCCGUAAACGAUGUCUACUUGGAGGUUGUGGCCUUGAGCCGUGGCUUUCGGAGCUAACGCGUUAAGUAGACCGCCUGGGGAGUACGGUCGCAAGAUUAAAACUCAAAUGAAUUGACGGGGGCCCGCACAAGCGGUGGAGCAUGUGGUUUAAUUCGAUGCAACGCGAAGAACCUUACCUACUCUUGACAUCCAGAGAACAGAGAUGCAUGGGUGCCUUCGGGAACUCUGAGACAGGUGCUGCAUGGCUGUCGUCAGCUCGUGUUGUGAAAUGUUGGGUUAAGUCCCGCAACGAGCGCAACCCUUAUCCUUGUUUGCCAGCGAGUAAUGUCGGGAACUCCAGGGAGACUGCCGGUGAUAAACCGGAGGAAGGUGGGGACGACGUCAAGUCAUCAUGGCCCUUACGAGUAGGGCUACACACGUGCUACAAUGGCGCAUACAGAGGGCAGCAAACUUGCGAUAGUGAGCGAAUCCCAAAAAGUGCGUCGUAGUCCGGAUUGGAGUCUGCAACUCGACUCCAUGAAGUCGGAAUCGCUAGUAAUCGUAGAUCAGAAUGCUACGGUGAAUACGUUCCCGGGCCUUGUACACACCGCCCGUCACACCAUGGAAGUGGGCUGCAAAAGAAGUAGGUAGUUUAACCUUCGGGAGGACGCUUACCACUUU
Molecule: ribosomal RNA, 1051 nt
Filed under: Vibrio sp. 744M
Lineage: Bacteria; Pseudomonadati; Pseudomonadota; Gammaproteobacteria; Vibrionales; Vibrionaceae
Description: bacterial SSU rRNA
Rfam family: Bacterial small subunit ribosomal RNA
Source: RNAcentral